GACGAACGCUGGCGGCGUGCUUAACACAUGCAAGUCGAACGAAGGGGCGAACGGGUGAGUAAUACGUGGGUAACCUGCCCUCCUUUUUGGGAUAAGCAUUGGAAACGGGGUCUAAUACCGAAUAAAGGGGGAUGGGCUCGCGGCCUAUCGGCUUGUUGGUGGGGUGAUGGCCUACCAAGGCGGUGACGGGUAGCCGGCCUGAGAGGGUGACCGGCCACGUUGAGCCGGUGAUGCGCCCCAGCCUCCUACGGGGGGCAGCAGUGGGGGAUAUUGCACAAUGGGUGACAGCCUUAUGCAGCGUCGCCGCUUGGGGGAUGAGGGCUUUCGUGUUGUAAACCUCUUUCACUAUCUAUCCGGUAGGUAAUGAAAAAGCCCCGGCUAACUACGUGCCAGCCGCCGCGGUAAUAC
This 408-nucleotide ribosomal RNA is filed under the name uncultured bacterium. RNAcentral describes it as "partial 16S ribosomal RNA". It matches the Rfam family "Bacterial small subunit ribosomal RNA", at positions 28 to 526 of the family's 1533-position model. The record is from RNAcentral.